RNAcentral lists this ribosomal RNA (307 nucleotides) under uncultured bacterium. RNAcentral's name for it is "bacterial SSU rRNA". It matches the Rfam family "Bacterial small subunit ribosomal RNA", at positions 28 to 336 of the family's 1533-position model. The record is from RNAcentral.
GACGAACGCUGGCGGCGUGCCUAACACAUGCAAGUCAACUUGAGGGAAGGAGCAAUCUGACCUGAUGGUGGCGCAAGGGUGCGUAACGCGUAAGUAACUUGCCCAAGGUAAGGAAUAACGUCGAGAAAUCGGCGCUAAUACCUCAUAAUGCAGCGGAUCCGCAUGGAUAUGUUGUUAAAGGUUUACCGCCUUGGGAUAGGCUUGCGUCUGAUUAGCUAGUUGGUGUGGUAAUGGCACACCAAGGCUACGAUCAGUAACUGGUCUGAGAGGAUGAUCAGUCACACUGGAACUGAGACACGGUCCAGAC